Molecule: ribosomal RNA, 339 nt
Filed under: uncultured bacterium
Lineage: Bacteria
Description: bacterial SSU rRNA
Rfam family: Bacterial small subunit ribosomal RNA
Source: RNAcentral
AAUCAACGCUGGCGGCGUGCCUAAACAUGCAAGUCGAGCGCGAAAGUGGGCUUCGGCCCACGAGUAGAGCGGCGAACGGGUGAGUAACGCGUGGGUGAUCUACCUCCGAGUGGGGAAUAACACCGGGAAACUGGUGCUAAUACCGCAUGACAUCCUCGAUUCGUUUCGGGGAUCAAAGCUGGGGACCGCAAGGCCUGGCGCUUGGAGAGGAGCCCGCGUCCGAUUAGCUUGUUGGCGGGGUAAUGGCCCACCAAGGCUUCGAUCGGUAGCCGGCCUGAGAGGGCGGACGGCCACACUGGGACUGAGACACGGCCCAGACUCCUACGGGAGGCAGCAGUG